GGAAUUUUCCGCAAUGGGCGAAAGCCUGACGGAGCAAUACCGCGUGAGGGAGGAAGGUCUUUGGAUUGUAAACCUCUUUUCUCAAGGAAGAAUAAAUGACGGUACUUGAGGAAUAAGCACCGGCUAACUCCGUGCCAGCAGCCGCGGUAAUACGGAGGGUGCAAGCGUUAUCCGGAAUUAUUGGGCGUAAAGAGUCCGUAGGUGGUUCAGCAAGUCUGCUGUCAAAGCCCGCAGCUUAACUGCGGAGAGGCGGUGGAAACUGUUGAACUAGAGUACGGUAGGGGUAGAGGGAAUUCCCAGUGUAGCGGUGAAAUGCGUAGAUAUUGGGAAGAACACCGGUGGCGAAAGCGCUCUACUGGACCGUAACUGACACUGAGGGACGAAAGCCAAGGUAGCGAAAGGGAUUAGAUACCCCUGUAGUC
This 422-nucleotide ribosomal RNA is filed under the name uncultured cyanobacterium. RNAcentral's name for it is "bacterial SSU rRNA". It matches the Rfam family "Bacterial small subunit ribosomal RNA", at positions 358 to 795 of the family's 1533-position model. The record is from RNAcentral. Lineage: Bacteria; Bacillati; Cyanobacteriota.